GCUGUCCCCAUAACUGCAGCAGCACCUUGGCUGAGGCAUGGGGCUGUGCAGUUCCCAUGCAGAGAGAGCAAGAGCUGGGGAUGUUGAUGGACCCUGGGUUGAGCCUGGCAUGUUCCAAGAUCUGCCCUUUACAUUGAUGAGCCUAUGGCAGGGGAAGUGCUGUGAUUGUCAUGAGACAGGCUAUAGCCUGUACAUCAGCAACAGUGUGGGAUUGUUCCAGAAGGGAGAGCACAGUGGUGCUGGUUUGAGACACAGAAAGGUGCCUGCUCAGCAAGAACAAAUAGGAAGAAAAAGGACUCGGGUGUGGCGGUGUGCGAGGUCUUGGCCCCAUUAAGAAAAAGCCCUUUUACCCCACGGUGAAGGUGCUGGUGAGACCAUCACUGAUAUCCACAGCCACGCAGGUGAGGAGGAGGAUGAGGGUGUGUCAUCUGCACAGGCACGUCCUGCUCCCUGCCUCUCCCCAUCACACCCUGCUGCCCUCACACCAUCUCUCCCCCAGCCGUAUAUCCCCGGAUCCUGCACACCCUCCCCACAGGCACGGUGCUGGCAGUGGCGGCCAUCGGCCUCGUCCUCCUGGGUGCAGGCAGCUGGUUUGCCAUCAGGAAAGGUGCCUGCAGAGGGAGAUGCCCAAGGUGAGCACCAAGGGCUGCUGGCUGUGGGGUAUGCGGGAGGGAGUUGGGGGAAUGAAAGGUCCCUGGGGUGCUCCUUGUUCAGGGGCAUCUCCUGUGCAGAAGUCAGGAAGGAUGGGGCUUGUCUUUGGCUGCCCUCCAGUUCAAUGACAAAUGCAGGAAAGCAACUCCAAAGGGCAUAAGCCUCUAGAUCCCUCCUCAGCACAUGCACAUCCCAGAACCAUUCCAUUCCUCUCCAGGCAGCAGCACGUUGACAGCCCACAGACGGAAGACACCAACUAUGGUGACAUCCAGUGUGAGUACUACCUCCUCCCUUGGGGGAAGCCACAUGCUCCUCUCCCCAUGAGAAUCUUCUGCAAG
RNAcentral lists this long non-coding RNA (989 nucleotides) under Anas platyrhynchos platyrhynchos (common mallard). Its description in RNAcentral is "lncRNA (ENSAPLG00000029445.1)". Lineage: Eukaryota; Metazoa; Chordata; Aves; Anseriformes; Anatidae. The record is from RNAcentral.